UAAUAGUUAUAUUCUUUAAACCCAAAGAAUUUGGCGGUGUUUUAGUCUAUUUAGAGGAAUUUGUCCCUUAAUCGAUAUUCCCCGUUUUAUCUUACUUUAAUUUGUUUUCAGUUUGUAUACCGCUGUUAUAAGUUUAUUUUAAAAGAAUUAGAAUUUACUUUAUUUUUUAUUUAUAUUUAUUUCAAGUCAAGGUGCAGUUAAUGUUAAAGUGGAGGUGAAUUACAUUAUUUUUGAUAUAUGGAUUUUUUAUUUAAAAUUUUUUUGAAAGUGGAUUUAAUAGUAAUUUUAUUAAUAAUGUUAAUUUGAUUUUAGCUCUAGAAUAAGUACACAUCGCCCGUCGCUCU
Molecule: ribosomal RNA, 344 nt
Filed under: Kalocorinnis wegneri
Lineage: Eukaryota; Metazoa; Arthropoda; Insecta; Phasmatodea; Prisopodidae
Description: partial 12S ribosomal RNA
Source: RNAcentral